AGUGGGCAGCUGGGGCGAGAUGUCCCCAGCUGGGGAUGUUUGUGUCUGAGUCCCUGCCCUGCGUGCCUCAGGUGCGGCCAUUCUGCAGGAAACCUGGCGGGGCUGGGACAGGGCUGCACCUCUUGGCCUCGGUGCGGAUGCAGGCUGUCAGCGGGGAGACGCGCAAGUACAUGGAGGAAUCUCAGAGCUCCGUCUGAAGGAUUUGGCAGUGGUUUAGGUGCCUGCGGGGGAGAGGAGACAAUAAGAGCGUUUGUUGGGCGGCUCAUCCAGCGAAACGUGCGGCUCUGCAGCUGGGUGCCGUGGCUGCUGUGGGAGGCCCGGCUGAAGCUGAGGCAGGAGAACCCCAGCAGGGCCUGCUUGUCUGAGGGAACAAAGUUUGUCAUCCUGAGACACCAGACCUUUGACGAGACUCAGGUAACCUCUGACAGCACGUACAGUGCUGACAAAGAGUCCCUGUCAGCCUUUGUGGAAGACUUUGAGACUUCAGUCAGCAUUGACUUUCUAGAAGACGAAGAGCGUGUUGGCGAAGUGCUAGACUGUGGUUCUUCGGAUCUAUCGGAUCGUGGAGGAACAGAAGAAGCUCAGCAUGAAGAUGAAAAGAUGACAGAAGCAGCAGCAUCCCAGAAGUUGUGAUCACACAGGCAGAUGAGGUCCAGAGAAAAAUGACGAUGUUAUUGAACCCCAUCCAUUUUUCUUCAGGGUGAAUGUUUCUGCCACCUGGCAGCAGCGCCUUCCCACAGGCUAGAAACCUUGCUACAUUCCUCGGUGCCCGCUAAGGCUAAUCAAGCUGCUUGUGUUUCAACAUGUUGUAAAAGGAGGUGUUCCAUCAAGACAAGAAAUAGCUAUUGUUUAAACAACUCCUCCAGCAUCCUGCUGCUUGAUACUUAGAUAACAACAUCACGGGAUUUUGGAGAAGCUUUACAUACCGG
Molecule: long non-coding RNA, 929 nt
Filed under: Anas platyrhynchos platyrhynchos (common mallard)
Lineage: Eukaryota; Metazoa; Chordata; Aves; Anseriformes; Anatidae
Description: lncRNA (ENSAPLG00000018859.1)
Source: RNAcentral